UGAGAAGUUAGCCAACCAUCCGGCUGGUAUGUGCAACCCGGGUGGUGGUUGACUUCUUUCU
RNAcentral lists this microRNA precursor (61 nucleotides) under Branchiostoma floridae (Florida lancelet). Its description in RNAcentral is "Bfl-Mir-2057_pre stem-loop". Lineage: Eukaryota; Metazoa; Chordata; Leptocardii; Amphioxiformes; Branchiostomatidae. The record is from RNAcentral.